This 777-nucleotide ribosomal RNA is filed under the name uncultured Neocallimastigales. RNAcentral describes it as "partial large subunit ribosomal RNA". It matches the Rfam family "Eukaryotic large subunit ribosomal RNA", at positions 21 to 656 of the family's 3401-position model. The record is from RNAcentral. Lineage: Eukaryota; Fungi; Neocallimastigomycota; Neocallimastigomycetes; Neocallimastigales.
UCAGACGAUGGCGUCAUGCAUAUCAAUAAGCGGAGGAAAAGAAACUAACAAGGAUUCCCCUAGUAACGGCGAGUGAAGCGGGAAGAGCUCAAAUUUGAAAUCUUAAAGGGUUUCCCUUUACGAAUUGUAGUUUAAAGAAGUGUUUUCUGUUGAGGUUUUGGUAAAAGUUCUUUGGAAUAGGACAUCAUAGAGGGUGAGAAUCCCGUAUUUGACCUUUACUUUCAACUUUGUGAUACACUUUCAAAGAGUCGGAUUGUUUGGGAAUGCAGUCCAAAAUGGGUGGUAAAUUUCAUCUAAAGCUAAAUAUUGGCGAGAGACCGAUAGCGAACAAGUACCGUGAGGGAAAGAUGAAAAGAACUUUGAAAAGAGAGUUAAACAGUACGUGAAAUUGUCAAAAGGGAAGCGUUUGACACCAGUGUUGUUUUUCUGAAAAUCAAUUAAAGAACUGUUUAUGCUAAGCUGUUUAGACUUUAUCAGCCUAAUCUGUUUAGUUUUGAGCUUUUCUUUAAUGCACUUUUCAGUUAACAAGUCAACAUCAAUUUCUUUUGCUGUAAAAAAGCUUGAGGAAGGUGGCUUGAGAUUCGUCUUAAGUGUUUAUAGCCUCUUGCCUAUGCAGUCGGAGAGAUUGAGGUCUGCAGCGUAGAUCCUUCGGGGCUAAAUGCAUUUGUGCUAAGUUAUAGCAUUUUAUAGACAACUUGUUGACUAUGAUUUGUCUUGUAGCUUACUCGCUUAUGUUAUUUUACCUACGCUUAGGAUGUUGACACACGCGCGUGCUCG